AAAGUCAUCUUUCCAAAGAGAUUUGAUUUGAAACUCUUAUAUGUCUAAGCUCAAUAUGAAUAUUCUUCCAAAGGUUUUCCCUUACUUUGUCUAUGUCAACAAACUAUUCAAAAUACCUUGACUUUUUUAGAACAAGUCCAGAGUCAAACAACAAUGAUUUGA
RNAcentral lists this ribosomal RNA (162 nucleotides) under Triticum aestivum (bread wheat). RNAcentral's name for it is "partial small subunit ribosomal RNA". Lineage: Eukaryota; Viridiplantae; Streptophyta; Magnoliopsida; Poales; Poaceae. The record is from RNAcentral.